Molecule: long non-coding RNA, 270 nt
Filed under: Elaeis guineensis (African oil palm)
Lineage: Eukaryota; Viridiplantae; Streptophyta; Magnoliopsida; Arecales; Arecaceae
Description: long non-coding RNA (EGUI_LNC014394)
Source: RNAcentral
CUUAGACACUACAAAAAUGCCAAUUAGCAACAGCAUUAUCUUUUGCUCCUAUGGGAUUGUAGUAUGGUUGCAUCAAAUCUAUCUACUCGAUUUUGUGAUUGGCUUAAAUGUCUCUCUUGUUCCUCAAUACUUAGCUAAAACCUACUCCUCGUAGUACCACCAAUAUUUCAAACUAGCUCUACAGCUAGCUAUUCGGUUUGAAAUGGAGCUGCUUAAAAUAAAUUUUUUUUUUUGAUAAAAUUUUGAUCGACCGUAUCUUUUAAUCCAAGA